ACAAUAUUUAUAUGCCAAUUGAUUUAUUUUAUAGUUAUUUAUGAGCUAGGAGUUUCCACGUUUCAUCUGUUAGCCGGAGCCAUCGAGAGGUAUUUGACUAUGAUUAAAAGGAGGCCUUAUGGUGCCAAUAAAAAGUACAGGGUUUUCCUUUGUAUUGGUUUAUCUCAGUUUCCCUGAGUACCUUAUCAGUCUUCAGCUGGAACUGUACUAACAAUUUACCAGACUGCUCAACAGCGUUGCCUCUUUAUUCCAAGAAAUAUGUUGCAUUUUUCAUCAGUAUCUUUAUAAUCAUUGUGGUGACAACUGUUAUCAUGUAUGCAUAUAUUUACUGGUAAAGUCCUGUCGCCAUAAUGUCCCUAAGCAUAAUAAUUCAAAAAGAAAAGGAGGACUUGUGGCACCUUAGAGACUAACACAUUUAUUUGAGCAUAAGCUUUCAUGAGCUACAGCGCCCUUCAUCGGAUGCAAAGCUUAUGCUCAAAUAAAUAUGUUAGUCUCUAAGGUGCCACGAGUCGUCCUUUUCUUUUUGUGGAUACAGACUAACAUGGCUGCUACUCUGAAACCCAUAAUAACUCAGAUAUCUGUGGCAUUGCUUAGGACAUUUGUGAUUGUAGUCAGCUUAUUCAUUACCUGUUGGUCUCCGGUGUUGUUCCGUUGCUCCUAGAUGUAGCCUGCAAAGUAAGAUAACAUGCCAUUUAUACAAGCCCGACUGGUUUAUCGCCUCGGUGGCUAUUAAUUCUACACUGAGUCUGAGCAAGGCAAUGUGGUAGGUUUUCUUUUGCCUUAUUUGUGGCUGUCUAGUGAAGACAAACAAGCAUGGCCAGAUUUUUGCCUAUUCAGCCCACUGCAGAUUACAGUUGAAGUAAAUCUACAGCUUUUUAGGAUCCAAUUACAAAGUUUUUCAAUCAUAGGGAAAAACUUUAAGCAGGUUUUUGAAACUUUGAGUACCUAUUUGUCACAUAACUAGUUUCGGUUUGGGCUUUAAUUUUGUAAGAGAACUGACUCGGGGAAGUAUAAGGCACAAAAAUAAUACAAAACUUAAGGCUGCACAGCCCCUAUCUUCCUACGUCCUUAAACAGAAGUUCCUCGUUGCUUAGGGAGGGAGACCAACAGACCUUUGAAGUGUUAGCCCUGAACUAUGGGCACAGCCACUGUAUAAAAGAGGAUGAGCCUGUGAUUAAGAAUGGAAGAGCCUAAAAGCUGCCUGAACAAGAGUCUCCUGAUUAACCAGCAUGAGAACAAAGGAGGCCUUUUUGCUUUGAAUGGGACGACUGACCCUGUUGAUUGCGUUGCUUGCAAAGAAUCGCACCAGUGUUUUCUGCCUUCCAGAUGUCCCCAGCUCUGCACGUUUCAUAGGCAGCCAAUGGCUCUGGUGUGAUGGGCUGGUUCUGUGCGAUGCCCAGAAAGGACUGAAGAUCUGAUGUAUGCAUUUCCCAUGUAUGUGCCUUUAAUUGAAUGGGUUUGUUCCAAAUUCACUAGUGUUCCACCGGCUUUCUCCCGAGCCCUUAAUUACAGUGUUUACUAAUGACCUAUUGGCUAAAGAAAAUGGCUCUUGUGAGGCUUUUGAUCAUGCCUCUCUUUUUUUCUUUUUUUUUUUUUGGUCAUGCAUUACAGCUUGUGGGCAGGAACUUUUAAAUGCUAAUGAUUCAGCUACUCCAUGGGAGUCGAUGUAACUAGAAUUAACCUUCUGUGGCAUUAAAGUGUGCUCCCCAUUCCUGUUAAAAUUGCUCCCCCAGCCACCAGUGCCAUCCCUGCAAUCUGCUCUGAAAUUCUCCAUGCAGCAUUGCAAGGCAUUCAUGCUCUGCUGUCCUUAACUCUUGUUCCAUCUCUCCCCUCAUUCUCAUUUGGGACAACCAGGUCCCUCUUACAGACAUCCAGAGAGGUUUUUUAAGUAGCCAGCAUUCGUUUUUAGAUCAGUUGCAACCUCAGACCUUCCCAUCUGGCUCCAGAAUGCCGAUUGAGGAGGGAGGGUGUUUUUGGUCGGUGCUCUAUCCUUCGUGGGAGUUGUGUAAAAUACUUUUAAAGAGCUGCCGAGUUCUGAUAAAUUUUGCAAACGGCAAUGGGUCAUGGAAAGCCCACUGAACUGUUACUUUUUUACUUUUCCCCAGCAUGGUUGAUUUUCCAAGAUGUUUGUGCAUGAAGCGGACACUAUCUCCUCUCCUUCAUAGUCAUUUCUCUCCUGCCUGAAUCGUGCAGUGAGAGACAUCCUAUUUCAUCUCCCUGGAGGUCAUUGGGGUCUCCACUCUUCCUGGAGGCAUCAGCCAAGGUCGAGGGGGAAAACCUGUCUGGGUAAAAUCAGAACCAGCCGGAGCAUUUAUCAGAGCUGGAAUUAAUUCCAUGGCUCAAGAGUGGAGUUUAGGACUCAACAAGGAUCUUUAUUCAUCUCAGCUGCUAUUUAAUGUGAUCUGAUCUCCUAUGUAUCUAAUGCCUCCAUUACCAUCAUGUCUAUCCAGGCAUGAAGGUAAUCAGAAUGAUGUGACUCUUAUACCUCAUGACAUGCUAGGGCUGGAGAGCUCUUUGUCAGACCAGGGGCAAAAGCUUUCAGUAUCAGCCAACAUUUCCCAAGCACUGGGAUCUGAUACUUUCAAAAACAAAAAAAACCCUACU
Molecule: long non-coding RNA, 2604 nt
Organism: Dermochelys coriacea (leatherback sea turtle)
Lineage: Eukaryota; Metazoa; Chordata; Testudines; Dermochelyidae
Exons: 2
Source: RefSeq, a predicted model, not a curated record